RNAcentral lists this ribosomal RNA (650 nucleotides) under Austrobuxus alticola. RNAcentral's name for it is "eukaryotic LSU rRNA". The stretch from base 262 to 417 matches the Rfam family "5.8S ribosomal RNA". The record is from RNAcentral. Lineage: Eukaryota; Viridiplantae; Streptophyta; Magnoliopsida; Malpighiales; Picrodendraceae.
AAGUCGUAACAAGGUUUCCGUAGGUGAACCUGCGGAAGGAUCAUUGUAGAGACCUGCACAGCAGAACGACCCGCGAACCGUUCAUCACACCCGCCGGGUGCGCGCGGUGCCGCGAGGCCCCAGCGCACACGGCGGCGCCGCAGGGCGGCAAACGAACCCCGGCGCAGGACGCGCCAAGGAACCGGAACGAAACGAGCGCGCGCCCGCCGCCCCGGAAACGGUGAGCGCGCGGGAGCGUCGCCUUCUUUCACAAACCACAACGACUCUCGGCAACGGAUAUCUCGGCUCUCGCAUCGAUGAAGAACGUAGCGAAAUGCGAUACUUGGUGUGAAUUGCAGAAUCCCGUGAACCAUCGAGUUUUUGAACGCAAGUUGCGCCCGAAGCCUUCGGGCCGAGGGCACGUCUGCCUGGGUGUCACGCAACGUCGCCCCCCUCCCCCGCUGGUUGUGGGCCGGGGGCGGACAGUGGCCUCCCGUGUGCUCACCGCGCGCGGUUGGCCGAAAAACGAGUCCCCCGCGGCGAGCGCUGCGACUACCGGUGGUUGAACGACCCUCUGAGCACGUCGCGCGCCGGCGCCGCGGAACCGGGAACUCCACACGACCCUAACGCGUCGCGCACGCUCCUGCUGCGACCCCAGGUCAGGCGGGACU